This 253-nucleotide ribosomal RNA is filed under the name uncultured bacterium. RNAcentral describes it as "partial 16S ribosomal RNA". It matches the Rfam family "Bacterial small subunit ribosomal RNA", at positions 524 to 776 of the family's 1533-position model. The record is from RNAcentral.
UACGGGGGGGGCAAGCGUUGUUCGGAAUUACUGGGCGUAAAGGGCUCGUAGGUGGCCAACUAAGUCAGACGUGAAAUCCCUCGGCUUAACCGGGGAACUGCGUCUGAUACUGGAUGGCUUGAGUUCGGGAGAGGGGUGCGGAAUUCCAGGUGUAGCGGUGAAAUGCGUAGAUAUCUGGAGGAACACCGGUGGCGAAGGCGGCACCCUGGACCGACACUGACGCUGAGGAGCGAAAGCCAGGGGAGCAAACGGG